CCAUGGCAGGUCGAGGCGACGGAACGCGAGACGGCAGGGGGCGUACCUUUGUCUGAGGAGUGAAGUCCGCGCGGCGCCACCAGUACUUGGGGCGAACCGGAGACCAACCCGCUUCAUCUUGCACGUCGACUUGAAUAGGCGUCCUAUCAGCAGAGCUUCGGGAUGGGAUGUCGCCAUUAUUGUAGGUGCUGGAGCUCGCAACGGCCCUGCAACGGCCAGAUCUGCCCCCAACAGAGGCAGCAGAGGGGGAUUUGAGGCAGGAUCUGGGUUGGUGGCGAGCUGGAGGAGGGGAGUAAUGGCGUCGCAGAGGGGGGAGGCUGACCUGGGGGGCGCAGACGAAGGAGACGCGACGCGGAGUAGCAUAGGGGCGCAGCGGGGAGGCCGUCACGUCGAUUGGGAUGGGGAUCGAGCCCACCACGAUGGAGCUCAGACGCGGCUGCCGCGCUGGCUCAUCCGGCGACCGACCGGCGCGGGGAGGAAGGGCGGGGCCUCGAGGGUCGCGAGGACCGUGAGGCGAGGCGUCGUGGCACGGGAGGGUGGGCAUGACCGGUGGGGAGGCUGGAGGU
This 566-nucleotide long non-coding RNA is filed under the name Sorghum bicolor (sorghum). RNAcentral's name for it is "long non-coding RNA (SBIC_LNC006187)". Lineage: Eukaryota; Viridiplantae; Streptophyta; Magnoliopsida; Poales; Poaceae. The record is from RNAcentral.